UUAACCUGUAGCUGGCCCCUCCCCUCUCAGCCUUUGGGAAGGGUCCACCCCCCUCUGCUAGACUGGCUGCAAAUGACCCACAAAACCCUUUAGGGUUUAUAGCUCCAGUCCAGAAGGUCACAGGGAGAUGGUUCUGGGACCAACAGAUCCGCCUGGGUUCCGGCUACAACUAGAGUCCAAACAUGGUGCCGCUAUUGGGUUUCUGUGGGGAGAUAUGGAUAUCUCACUUCCCUGGUAUUCCACCCUCAAACAAAUACCAUGGGCAUGUUCAGCGUGGCCA
Bufo bufo (common toad) is the source of this 280-nucleotide long non-coding RNA. RefSeq lists it as uncharacterized. The transcript is spliced from 2 exons. The record is from RefSeq and is a predicted model, not a curated record. NCBI's taxonomy places the organism in Eukaryota, Metazoa, Chordata, Amphibia, Anura, Bufonidae.